Molecule: ribosomal RNA, 270 nt
Filed under: uncultured archaeon
Lineage: Archaea
Description: partial 16S ribosomal RNA
Rfam family: Archaeal small subunit ribosomal RNA
Source: RNAcentral
CAGCACCUCAAGUGGUCAGGAUGAUUAUUGGGCCUAAAGCAUCCGUAGCCGGCGCUGUAAGUUGUCGGUUAAAUCUGUACGCUCAACGUACAGGCUGCCGGGAAUACUGCAGCGCUAGGGAGUGGGAGAGGUAGACGGUACUCGGUAGGAAGGGGUAAAAUCGUUUGAUCUAUUGAUGACCACCUGUGGCGAAGGCGGUCUACCAGAACACGUCCGACGGUGAGGGAUGAAAGCUGGGGGAGCAAACCGGAUUAGAUACCCGAGUAGUCC